Non-coding RNA from Myotis davidii, 67 nucleotides. The record is from Rfam. Lineage: Eukaryota; Metazoa; Chordata; Mammalia; Chiroptera; Vespertilionidae.
AUCGCCAUCUUACUGGGCAGCAUUGGAUGGUGUCAGGUCUCUAAUACUGCCUGGUAAUGAUGACGGC